GAUGAAGAACGUAGCGAAAUGCGAUACGUAAUGUGAAUUGCAAAAUUCAGUGAAUCAUCGAGUCUUUGAACGCACAUUGCGCCCCCUGGUAUUCCGGGGGGCAUGCCUGUCCGAGCGUCAUUGCUGCCCUCAAGCACGGCUUGUGUGUUGGGCCUCCGUCCUCCUCCCGGGGGACGGGCCCGAAAGGCAGCGGCGGCACCGCGUCCGGUCCUCGAGCGUAUGGGGCUUCGUCACCCGCUCUUGUAGGCCCGGCCGGCGCUUGCCGACACAUCAAUCUUUUUUCCAGGUUGACCUCGGAUCAGGUAGGGAUACCCGCUGAACUUAAGCAUAUCAAUAAGCGGAGGA
Molecule: unclassified non-coding RNA, 345 nt
Filed under: soil metagenome
Description: partial contains 5.8S ribosomal RNA, internal transcribed spacer 2, and large subunit ribosomal RNA
Rfam family: 5.8S ribosomal RNA (bases 1-120)
Source: RNAcentral